RNAcentral lists this unclassified non-coding RNA (188 nucleotides) under rhizosphere metagenome. RNAcentral's name for it is "partial ribosomal RNA internal transcribed spacer region". The record is from RNAcentral.
GUAGGUGAACCUGCGGAAGGAUCAUUCUUGAUAAUGUAGCUUUGCUAUAUUACUUAUGUGAACUGUUAUUGCCAUUUGGCGAUCGAAAGGUCGUCGGUGGCCCUAUUUAAUAUUUACCCUUAAUGUAUUUAAUGUACCAGUAAUCAUAAUUUUUAUGACAACUUUUAGCAAUGGAUCUCUAGGCUCUC